CAGGCCUAACACAUGCAAGUCGAGCGCGCCUUCGGGUGAGCGGCGGACGGGUUAGUAACGCGUGGGAACGUGCCCUUUUCUACGGAAUAGCCUCUGGAAACGGAGAGUAAUACCGUAUACGCCCUUUGGGGGAAAGAUUUAUCGGAGAAGGAUCGGCCCGCGUUAGAUUAGGUAGUUGGUGGGGUAACGGCCUACCAAGCCUACGAUCUAUAGCUGGUUUUAGAGGAUGAUCAGCAACACUGGGACUGAGACACGGCCCAGACUCUUACGGGAGGCAGCAGUGGGGAAUAUUAGACAAUGGGGGCAACCCUGAUCUAGCCAUGCCGCGUGAGUGAUGAAGGCCUUAGGGUCGUAAAGCUCUUUCGCUUGUGAUGAUAAUGACAG
RNAcentral lists this ribosomal RNA (384 nucleotides) under uncultured marine bacterium. RNAcentral describes it as "bacterial SSU rRNA". It matches the Rfam family "Bacterial small subunit ribosomal RNA", at positions 43 to 457 of the family's 1533-position model. The record is from RNAcentral.